GAUGAACGCUGGCGGCGUGCCUAAUACAUGCAAGUCGAGCGAACAGACGAGGAGCUUGCUCCUCUGACGUUAGCGGCGGACGGGUGAGUAACACGUGGAUCACCUCCCUAUAAGUCUGGGAUAACUUCGGGAAACCGGCGCUAAUACCGGAUAAUAUCUUGAACCGCAUGGUUCAAUAGUGAAAGACGGUUUUGCUGUCACUUAUCGAUGGAUACGCGCUGCAUUAGCCAGUUGGUAAGGUAACGGCUUAUCACGGCAACGAUGCGUAGCCGACCUGAGAGGGGGAUCGGCCACACUGGAACUGAGACAGGGUCCAGACUCCUACGGGAGGCAGCAGUAGGGAAUCUUCCGCAAUGGGCGAAAGCCUGACGGAGCAGCGCCGCGUGAGAUAUGGAGGUCUUCGGAUCGUGAAACUCUGUUAUUAGGGAAGAACAAAUGUGUAAGUAACUAUGCACGGCGUGACGGUACCUAAUCAGAAAGCCACGGCUAACUACGUG
RNAcentral lists this ribosomal RNA (497 nucleotides) under uncultured bacterium. Its description in RNAcentral is "partial 16S ribosomal RNA". It matches the Rfam family "Bacterial small subunit ribosomal RNA", at positions 28 to 507 of the family's 1533-position model. The record is from RNAcentral.